Brassica rapa (field mustard) is the source of this 1334-nucleotide RNA transcript. It is a transcript of the gene named serine/arginine-rich splicing factor SR30, with no coding region annotated. NCBI's taxonomy places the organism in Eukaryota, Viridiplantae, Streptophyta, Magnoliopsida, Brassicales, Brassicaceae. The record is from RefSeq and is a predicted model, not a curated record.
UUUUGUUUCCAGAACAAUCUAACGCUUUCUCGCUCCUCCUCUUCGUGUCUCUCUCCCUGCAAGCAAAUAUGAGUAGCAGCCGAUGGAACCGUACGAUCUACGUUGGGAACUUGCCUGGCGAUAUUCGUAUGAGAGAGGUUGAAGAUCUCUUCUACAAGUAUGGACCCAUUGUGGACAUUGAUCUGAAGAUUCCACCGAGACCUCCUGGUUAUGCAUUUGUUGAGUUUGAAGAUCCUCGUGAUGCAGAUGAUGCUAUUUAUGGGCGGGAUGGGUAUGACUUUGAUGGAUGUCGUCUACGGGUUGAGAUUGCACAUGGUGGUCGUAGAGGUUCAUCCUCGGUGGAUAGGCACAGCAGCAGCUACAGUGGGAGCCGUGCACCUUCUAGACGGUCUGACUAUCGUGUGCUUGUGACGGGGUUGCCGCCAUCUGCUUCCUGGCAGGACCUUAAGGAUCACAUGCGCAAAGCUGGAGAUGUCUGCUUUUCUGAAGUUUUUCGUGACCGUGGAGGCAUGUCAGGGGUUGUGGACUAUAGCAACUAUGAUGAUAUGAAGUACGCGAUAAGGAAGCUUGAUGACUCUGAGUUUCGAAAUGCUUUCUCCAGAGCUUAUAUACGGGUGAGAGAAUAUGAGUCGAGGAGUGUGAGUCGCAGCCCAUAUUAUUCUAGAAGCAGGAGUCGAAGCCGUGGUCGAAGCUAUAGUUAUAGUAGCAGAAGUUUGUCGCCUGCUAGAUCUUCUCGUUCUCCAACUCCGUAUAGCUCGAUCUCAAGAUCUGGCUCACUGCGGCGAGCUGGGGACUGGAUCUUAGGGACUUGAUGGGGUUAAUCUUAGAUGGAUCCUAGGACUUGCUGCUCUGAUACUCAGCCCGUAUCAGCUGUACAUUUUGGCCUAAGAGUCCUCUGAUUCCCUAACGUUUCUUUUUUUCUGUCCAUGCUGGAAUCCAUGUUUUAGUUCUUUUCUAGACCAACACCCGAGUCCAGAUGGGAGAUGGUCAGUAGAAAAUUGUUUUGUCAUGACGCCACAUUAACAAGGUUUUUUGUUUUUGUCUUACUGCAGGUCCCGGUCAAGAUCGAGAUCAAAUUCUCCAGUUUCACCCGUGAGAUCUGACUGAAAAGAAGACCUGGUGACCGGGAAUAGAGUACCGCCGUAUCCAAAUUGAGUCAUGCUUCUCAUGGUCCACUCGUAGUAUAAUAAUCUGAUUUGGAUUUGAGUUACUUAUUAUAUCUCGAAUGAACAAUUAAUAAUAUGUUUUUUCUAUUUAAAAACUUUUAGUUGGUCUGUUAUUGUGUCUUUUAGCAAUGAACCGAACCUCUUAAAAUAAUCUAUUUGUGGUUGCUU